Molecule: transfer RNA, 101 nt
Filed under: Sclerotinia borealis F-4128
Lineage: Eukaryota; Fungi; Ascomycota; Leotiomycetes; Helotiales; Sclerotiniaceae
Rfam family: tRNA
About the family: Transfer RNA (tRNA) molecules are approximately 80 nucleotides in length. Their secondary structure includes four short double-helical elements and three loops (D, anti-codon, and T loops).
Source: Rfam by way of RNAcentral
GGGGCUGUAACUCAGUGGUAGAGUGCCUCGUUUGCAUUUAUACAGCAGCUAUUGCGUAUUCUGUUUCGAUGAAGUCCAGGGUUCAAUCCCCUGCCGCUCCA